This 433-nucleotide ribosomal RNA is filed under the name uncultured bacterium. Its description in RNAcentral is "partial 16S ribosomal RNA". It matches the Rfam family "Bacterial small subunit ribosomal RNA", at positions 29 to 507 of the family's 1533-position model. The record is from RNAcentral.
AACGAACGCUGGCGGCAUGCCUAACACAUGCAAGUCGAACGAGACCUUCGGGUCUAGUGGCGCACGGGUGCGUACCGCGUGGUAACCUGCCCUUAGGUUCGGAAUAACUCCCCGAAAGGGGUGCUAAUACCGGAUAAUGUCUUCGGACCAAAGAUUUAUCGCCUUUGGAUGGGCCCGCGUUGGAUUAGCUAGUUGGUAGGGUAAAAGCCUACCAAGGCGACGAUCCAUAGCUGGUCGGAGAGGAUGAUCAGCCACACUGGGACUGAGACACGGCCCAGACUCCUACGGGAGGCAGCAGUGGGGAAUAUUGGACAAGGGGCGAAAGCCUGAUACAGCAAUGCCGCGUGAGUGAUGAAGGCCUUAGGGUUGUAAAGCUCUUUUACCCGGGAUGAUAAUGACAGUACCGGGAGAAUAAGCUCCGGCUAACUACGUG